CCUACGGGCGGCAGCAGUGAGGAAUAUUGGUCAAUGGACGAGAGUCUGAACCAGCCAAGUAGCGUGAAGGAUGACUGCCCUAUGGGUUGUAAACUUCUUUUAUAUGGGAAUAAAAUGUUCCACGUGUGGGAUUUUGUAUGUACCAUAUGAAUCCGGAUCGGCUAACUCCGUGCCAGCAGCCGCGGUAAUACGGAGGGUCCGAGCGUUAUCCGGAUUUAUUGGGAGUAAAGGGAGCGUAGGUGGGUUGUUAAGUUAGUUGUGAAAGUUUCCGGCUCAACCGUAAAAUUGCAGUUGAAACUGGCAGUCUUGAGUACAGUAGAGGUAGGCGGAAUUCGUGGUGUAGCGGUGAAAUGCGUAGAUAUCACGAAGAACACUGAUUGCGAAGGCAGCUCACUGGACUGUAACUGACACUGAGGCUCGAAAGUGUGGGUAUCAAACAGGAUUAGAUACCCCAGUAGUC
RNAcentral lists this ribosomal RNA (460 nucleotides) under uncultured bacterium. Its description in RNAcentral is "partial 16S ribosomal RNA". It matches the Rfam family "Bacterial small subunit ribosomal RNA", at positions 338 to 795 of the family's 1533-position model. The record is from RNAcentral.